UCCUGAUGGCUUAGUGGUAAAGAACCUGCCUGCAGUGCAGCAGAUGCAGGUUUGAUCCCUGGGUCAGGAA
Non-coding RNA from Bos taurus (domestic cattle), 70 nucleotides. NCBI's taxonomy places the organism in Eukaryota, Metazoa, Chordata, Mammalia, Artiodactyla, Bovidae. The record is from Rfam.